This is a long non-coding RNA of Pocillopora damicornis (cauliflower coral), 757 nucleotides long. NCBI's taxonomy places the organism in Eukaryota, Metazoa, Cnidaria, Anthozoa, Scleractinia, Pocilloporidae. The record is from RefSeq and is a predicted model, not a curated record.
GAGAGUCAACAAAACUCCAGCACGCUUGUUUCAGCUAAGACCAAGGAGUUUGCGAAGGUCCUUCUUCAGUCAGCCAGAAUGCUGUUUAGCUCCGAUAACAAAGAUGUGUGGGACGUCGUUCAACAGGUAAUAAUUAUUGGAUCAAUAUCUGAGCACUUACCCUUCCCCCGACCCAAGAACGGUCAACUAAUAACAAGUUAGUGUUGUUUUCUGGCUAAGGGAAGGGUAGGUGCGCAGUUGCGUAGGUACUGACCUUGAUCCGAAUUAUUUUUAAUGUUGUUGUUGUUGUUUUUUUUUGCAAGUGAUUCACGGUCGAUUUGUCGCCGGUUUUUAUCUCACUAUGCUCUCCAAUUGGUCUGUGAAACUCGCGCCUUUUCAUCUAGUCACUUUACUGCAAACAGAAGCCAAUAACGAGGUGUUAACUGUGAUCAUCACGCUUACUCAAAAAGCACGCUACUACUAAGAUGUAUUCAGAUGUCUGUGGUCAUCGCAGUAAUCUUUAGUUUUAAUUUUUUCCGCUUUGGCUCCAGUUUUCAAAAAUAAUAUCAACGUUCGUUCUGUUGACUUGCACAAACCGUUGACAUGCUCAAUCCGUAGCAAACGUGGGCGAACGUUAGCUACCAAGACGCAAGUAUUAAUAGCUGAUUGUGAUAGUGUAUGAAAAGCACACAAAAUUUUUCUUUAAAUUCAUUUGAAUAUUGCUCCUAGAAACAAAUGACCAGUGGAUUGUGACCUCCUUGUUUAUAUUGACACGAGC